AUGAAUCGUGCGUUCGCCAACGUCAUAGUGCGCGAUUACGGCAGUAAAUUUUACUCGCUGCUCCGGGUCAACCUCAAGCAGCAUCUCUUCCACCGCUCAGCAGCAGCAGCAGAAAAGGCGAGUAACAAGAAGGGACUGCCAUCGGCGAUCCCGAGCUUGGAGCCUCUGCCCGAGCACAAGAUCAACUUCUCGACGCCGCCAAAGAUGGAGGGCGCAACGUACUUGCACUUCUUCUCCCUGCUGAAAGGGCAGGCAGAGGGCCGUGUCAUGUUCGCCGACCCUUGCGCCAAUCCCGUGAUGUACGACAUUGACAUGGACGCCGUCAUCGCCAUGCCCGAGACUAACUUCAGCAAACAGAGGGACUCAAUCUCCUUGUCCAUGACUAGGCCUGGGAGCCAAGACGACGACGAACAGCACUAUGUCUUGAGCAAAGAACCGAGCAAUGUCUUGUUUGAGGUCUUGGAGUACGGGAGGAACGGCUCCGCCAGGGGGGGUCCAUCCGCUGGGACUGAACGGAGGUGGCACUGGCAACAUCUGCCCUCGCCGCCGAUGCGUGGACCGUACCUGCCUAGCCUCCACAGGAGAGAGGUCAUCCACCCCUCCGCGGCGGCGGUGGUCGAUGAGACGACUUUGUGUGUGUCGUCUGUGGAAACCGGAGCCUAUGCCUUUGACACGGUGAAAGGUGAGUGGAGGAAGGCUGGAAGCUGGGCGCUGCCCUUCCAUGGCGCGGCGGAGUACGUCCCUGAACUCGGCCUCUGGUUUGGCGUCAAUGCUGCCGUCGGCAACACCCACCACUGUCUGGGUGCCUUCGACCUGUCUUCCUGGCCACCCGUGGAGCACCGCACCUGGAACUAUCUUGAUCCGCUGUCCGACAAGUGGUUGACAUGGCAGAGGCACCUACUCAACCUUGGCUCAGGCAAGUUCUGCAUCGCCACCAGCUUUCAAAAUAUCGAGUGGCACACACCAUGUAAUGCAGCAGGCUACCCUUUACACGGGCUAGAUGAUGAGAUGGUGGUCAAUGACCUUAUCAUCUUGACGGGCGUCGAGGUUGUGCGUUGUGGCGACAGGCUCAAGAUGAUCAACCACAAGUCUAAACACCUUGAAGGCAUUGAAAUCCACUGCGUGCUCUGA
RNAcentral lists this ribosomal RNA (1131 nucleotides) under Triticum aestivum (bread wheat). Its description in RNAcentral is "partial small subunit ribosomal RNA". The record is from RNAcentral. Lineage: Eukaryota; Viridiplantae; Streptophyta; Magnoliopsida; Poales; Poaceae.